AAAUUGAAGAGUUUGAUCAUGGCUCAGAUUGAACGCUGGCGGCAGGCCUAACACAUGCAAGUCGAGCGGUAGCACAGAGAGCUUGCUCUCGGGUGACGAGCGGCGGACGGGUGAGUAAUGUCUGGGAAACUGCCUGAUGGAGGGGGAUAACUACUGGAAACGGUAGCUAAUACCGCAUAACGUCGCAAGACCAAAGUGGGGGACCUUCGGGCCUCAUGCCAUCAGAUGUGCCCAGAUGGGAUUAGCUAGUAGGUGGGGUAACGGCUCACCUAGGCGACGAUCCCUAGCUGGUCUGAGAGGAUGACCAGCCACACUGGAACUGAGACACGGUCCAGACUCCUACGGGAGGCAGCAGUGGGGAAUAUUGCACAAUGGGCGCAAGCCUGAUGCAGCCAUGCCGCGUGUGUGAAGAAGGCCUUCGGGUUGUAAAGCACUUUCAGCGGGGAGGAAGGCGUUAAGGUUAAUAACCUUGGCGAUUGACGUUACCCGCAGAAGAAGCACCGGCUAACUCCGUGCCAGCAGCCGCGGUAAUACGGAGGGUGCAAGCGUUAAUCGGAAUUACUGGGCGUAAAGCGCACGCAGGCGGUCUGUCAAGUCGGAUGUGAAAUCCCCGGGCUCAACCUGGGAACUGCAUUCGAAACUGGCAGGCUAGAGUCUUGUAGAGGGGGGUAGAAUUCCAGGUGUAGCGGUGAAAUGCGUAGAGAUCUGGAGGAAUACCGGUGGCGAAGGCGGCCCCCUGGACAAAGACUGACGCUCAGGUGCGAAAGCGUGGGGAGCAAACAGGAUUAGAUACCCUGGUAGUCCACGCCGUAAACGAUGUCGAUUUGGAGGUUGUGCCCUUGAGGCGUGGCUUCCGGAGCUAACGCGUUAAAUCGACCGCCUGGGGAGUACGGCCGCAAGGUUAAAACUCAAAUGAAUUGACGGGGGCCCGCACAAGCGGUGGAGCAUGUGGUUUAAUUCGAUGCAACGCGAAGAACCUUACCUGGUCUUGACAUCCACAGAACUUUCCAGAGAUGGAUUGGUGCCUUCGGGAACUGUGAGACAGGUGCUGCAUGGCUGUCGUCAGCUCGUGUUGUGAAAUGUUGGGUUAAGUCCCGCAACGAGCGCAACCCUUAUCCUUUGUUGCCAGCGGUUAGGCCGGGAACUCAAAGGAGACUGCCAGUGAUAAACUGGAGGAAGGUGGGGAUGACGUCAAGUCAUCAUGGCCCUUACGACCAGGGCUACACACGUGCUACAAUGGCAUAUACAAAGAGAAGCGACCUCGCGAGAGCAAGCGGACCUCAUAAAGUAUGUCGUAGUCCGGAUUGGAGUCUGCAACUCGACUCCAUGAAGUCGGAAUCGCUAGUAAUCGUAGAUCAGAAUGCUACGGUGAAUACGUUCCCGGGCCUUGUACACACCGCCCGUCACACCAUGGGAGUGGGUUGCAAAAGAAGUAGGUAGCUUAACCUUCGGGAGGGCGCUUACCACUUUGUGAUUCAUGACUGGGGUGAAGUCGUAACAAGGUAACCGUAGGGGAACCUGCGGUUGGAUCACCUCCUUA
Non-coding RNA from Klebsiella pneumoniae IS46, 1540 nucleotides. Lineage: Bacteria; Pseudomonadati; Pseudomonadota; Gammaproteobacteria; Enterobacterales; Enterobacteriaceae. The record is from Rfam.